UUUCCACAGAAAACAUACUAAAAUUAGAAUGACAGCAGAAGACUAGCAUGGUCCCUGUGUAAGGCUGAUACACACAUUCAAGAAGUACUCCAUAUUUUU
RNAcentral lists this small nuclear RNA (99 nucleotides) under Monodon monoceros (narwhal). The record is from RNAcentral. Lineage: Eukaryota; Metazoa; Chordata; Mammalia; Artiodactyla; Monodontidae.